RNAcentral lists this transfer RNA (76 nucleotides) under Eubacteriales Family XIII. Incertae Sedis bacterium. Its description in RNAcentral is "tRNA-Trp". It matches the Rfam family "tRNA". From Rfam's summary of the family: Transfer RNA (tRNA) molecules are approximately 80 nucleotides in length. Their secondary structure includes four short double-helical elements and three loops (D, anti-codon, and T loops). The record is from RNAcentral. Lineage: Bacteria; Bacillati; Bacillota; Clostridia; Peptostreptococcales; Anaerovoracaceae.
AGGGGUAUAGCUCAGUUGGUAGAGCGAUGGUCUCCAAAACCAUGCGCCGAGGGUUCAAGUCCUUCUACCCCUGCCA